Non-coding RNA from Paramuricea clavata, 230 nucleotides. Lineage: Eukaryota; Metazoa; Cnidaria; Anthozoa; Malacalcyonacea; Plexauridae. The record is from the annotation of a GenBank genome assembly.
CCUUAGGUUUAAAAAUGGCAAAAAUCGCGUUAACCUUGGCCAUAUUUCAUAAAACAUUGUCACAAAAUACUUUAAUUUUUUCAUACGCACUUCCGGAGCAAAUGAGACCACGCGGUUGAAAUUCCCCUUGCAAAACCAAAACAAACGGUUAUUCGCGACGAAAUUUUGCUUCGGAAGCAUAUUUUUCCUCCUUUAUUUCGAAAGUGAACGCUUCCUAGCGACCGAAAUAC